UGAUAUAGAUGCAAUUCAGAUACCAAUGGCCAGGGCUGAGUCAGAUGACCUGUCUAGCUUAGCUGGUGUCCCCUUACUCCCUCAUUGUUCAUGUGCAUUUCUCCCAAAGCUGUGAAGACCUUCCCUGAACAGAUGGGUCAGUCUUCGGUUGAGGAUAUACAAGUAGCUGUGUUCCCCUUCUAGGACCUCCAAACAAGAUCGUCUGAAAGCCCUACAUGGAUCAAGAGGCCAGCAUGAUAACUAAGGAGGUUGUUGUCCCACCAGCUUUAACCAAACACCCUAAAUGGGUUUUAACUUCAAUCUAUCCUUUUUA
Molecule: small nuclear RNA, 313 nt
Filed under: Erinaceus europaeus (western European hedgehog)
Lineage: Eukaryota; Metazoa; Chordata; Mammalia; Eulipotyphla; Erinaceidae
Description: 7SK RNA (ENSEEUG00000022775.1)
Rfam family: 7SK RNA
About the family: 7SK was discovered as an abundant small nuclear RNA in the mid-70s but a possible function has only recently been suggested. Two independent studies have found that 7SK RNA binds the CDK9/cyclin T complex (known as elongation factor P-TEFb).
Source: Rfam by way of RNAcentral